Molecule: ribosomal RNA, 229 nt
Filed under: uncultured bacterium
Lineage: Bacteria
Description: partial 16S ribosomal RNA
Rfam family: Bacterial small subunit ribosomal RNA
Source: RNAcentral
UGCGUAGGCGGGUCUAUAAGUCAGUGGUGAAAUCCUCGAGCUCAACUCGGGAACUGCCAUUGAUACUGUAGACCUUGAGUAUAGAUGAGGUGGGCGGAAUGUAUCAUGUAGCGGUGAAAUGCAUAGAUAUGAUACAGAACACCGAUUGCGAAGGCAGCUCACUAAACUAUAACUGACGCUGAGGCACGAAAGCGUGGGGAGCGAACAGGAUUAGAUACCCUGGUAGUCC